Molecule: ribosomal RNA, 2989 nt
Filed under: Salmonella enterica subsp. enterica serovar Typhimurium
Lineage: Bacteria; Pseudomonadati; Pseudomonadota; Gammaproteobacteria; Enterobacterales; Enterobacteriaceae
Description: 23S ribosomal RNA
Rfam family: Bacterial large subunit ribosomal RNA
Source: RNAcentral
UUAAGCGACUAAGCGUACACGGUGGAUGCCCUGGCAGUCAGAGGCGAUGAAGGGCGUGCUAAUCUGCGAUAAGCGCCGGUAAGGUGAUAUGAACCGUUAUAACCGGCGAUACCCGAAUGGGGAAACCCAGUGUGAUUCGUCACACUAUCAUUAACUGAAUCCAUAGGUUAAUGAGGCGAACCGGGGGAACUGAAACAUCUAAGUACCCCGAGGAAAAGAAAUCAACCGAGAUUCCCCCAGUAGCGGCGAGCGAACGGGGAGGAGCCCAGAGCCUGAAUCAGCAUGUGUGUUAGUGGAAGCGUCUGGAAAGGUGCGCGAUACAGGGUGACAGCCCCGUACACAAAAGCGCAUGUGCUGUGAGCUCGAUGAGUAGGGCGGGACACGUGGUAUCCUGUCUGAAUAUGGGGGGACCAUCCUCCAAGGCUAAAUACUCCUGACUGACCGAUAGUGAACCAGUACCGUGAGGGAAAGGCGAAAAGAACCCCGGCGAGGGGAGUGAAAAAGAACCUGAAACCGUGUACGUACAAGCAGUGGGAGCACCCUUCGGGGUGUGACUGCGUACCUUUUGUAUAAUGGGUCAGCGACUUAUAUUCUGUAGCAAGGUUAACCGUAUAGGGGAGCCGGAGGGAAACCGAGUCUUAACCGGGCGUUAAGUUGCAGGGUAUAGACCCGAAACCCGGUGAUCUAGCCAUGGGCAGGUUGAAGGUUGGGUAACACUAACUGGAGGACCGAACCGACUAAUGUUGAAAAAUUAGCGGAUGACCUGUGGCUGGGGGUGAAAGGCCAAUCAAACCGGGAGAUAGCUGGUUCUCCCCGAAAGCUAUUUAGGUAGCGCCUCGUGAAUUCAUCUCCGGGGGUAGAGCACUGUUUCGGCUAGGGGGCCAUCCCGGCUUACCAACCCGAUGCAAACUGCGAAUACCGGAGAAUGUUAUCACGGGAGACACACGGCGGGUGCUAACGUCCGUCGUGAAGAGGGAAACAACCCAGACCGCCAGCUAAGGUCCCAAAGUCAUGGUUAAGUGGGAAACGAUGUGGGAAGGCCCAGACAGCCAGGAUGUUGGCUUAGAAGCAGCCAUCAUUUAAAGAAAGCGUAAUAGCUCACUGGUCGAGUCGGCCUGCGCGGAAGAUGUAACGGGGCUAAACCAUGCACCGAAGCUGCGGCAGCGAACGUAUCACCCAAGACAACUUUACGGAGUUGACGAUUGACGGAGCGAAGCGACGUCAAAGCGUUCAUUAAAGUCGAGUUGGCUUAGGGAUACGUUCGUUGGGUAGGGGAGCGUUCUGUAAGCCUGUGAAGGUGUGUCGUGAGGCAUGCUGGAGGUAUCAGAAGUGCGAAUGCUGACAUAAGUAACGAUAAAGCGGGUGAAAAGCCCGCUCGCCGGAAGACCAAGGGUUCCUGUCCAACGUUAAUCGGGGCAGGGUGAGUCGACCCCUAAGGCGAGGCCGAAAGGCGUAGUCGAUGGGAAACGGGUUAAUAUUCCCGUACUUGGUGUUACUGCGAAGGGGGGACGGAGAAGGCUAUGUUGGCCGGGCGACGGUUGUCCCGGGUUUAAGCGUGUAGGUGUGUGUUCCAGGUAAAUCCGGUUCACUUUAACACUGAGGCGUGACGACGAGGCACUACGGUGCUGAAGCAACAAAUGCCCUGCUUCCAGGAAAAGCCUCUAAGCAUCAGGUAACACGAAAUCGUACCCCAAACCGACACAGGUGGUCAGGUAGAGAAUACCAAGGCGCUUGAGAGAACUCGGGUGAAGGAACUAGGCAAAAUGGUGCCGUAACUUCGGGAGAAGGCACGCUGACACGUAGGUGAAGUGAUUUACUCAUGGAGCUGAAGUCAGUCGAAGAUACCAGCUGGCUGCAACUGUUUAUUAAAAACACAGCACUGUGCAAACACGAAAGUGGACGUAUACGGUGUGACGCCUGCCCGGUGCCGGAAGGUUAAUUGAUGGGUCAGCGCAAGCGAAGCUCCUGAUCGAAGCCCCGGUAAACGGCGGCCGUAACUAUAACGGUCCUAAGGUAGCGAAAUUCCUUGUCGGGUAAGUUCCGACCUGCACGAAUGGCGUAAUGAUGGCCAGGCUGUCUCCACCCGAGACUCAGUGAAAUUGAACUCGCUGUGAAGAUGCAGUGUACCCGCGGCAAGACGGAAAGACCCGUGAACCUUUACUAUAGCUUGACACUGAACAUUGAGCCUUGAUGUGUAGGAUAGGUGGGAGGCUUUGAAGUGUGGACGCCAGUCUGCAUGGAGCCGACCUUGAAAUACCACCCUUUAAUGUUUGAUGUUCUAACGUGGACCCGUAAUCCGGGUUGCGGACAGUGUCUGGUGGGUUAGUUUGACUGGGGCGGUCUCCUCCUAAAGAGUAACGGAGGAGCACGAAGGUUGGCUAAUCCUGGUCGGACAUCAGGAGGUUAGUGCAAUGGCAUAAGCCAGCUUGACUGCGAGCGUGACGGCGCGAGCAGGUGCGAAAGCAGGUCAUAGUGAUCCGGUGGUUCUGAAUGGAAAGGGCCAUCGCUCAACGGAUAAAAGGUACUCCGGGGAUAACAGGCUGAUACCGCCCAAGAGUUCAUAUCGACGGCGGUGUUUGGCACCUCGAUGUCGGCUCAUCACAUCCUGGGGCUGAAGUAGGUCCCAAGGGUAUGGCUGUUCGCCAUUUAAAGUGGUACGCGAGCUGGGUUUAGAACGUCGUGAGACAGUUCGGUCCCUAUCUGCCGUGGGCGCUGGAGAACUGAGGGGGGCUGCUCCUAGUACGAGAGGACCGGAGUGGACGCAUCACUGGUGUUCGGGUUGUCAUGCCAAUGGCACUGCCCGGUAGCUAAAUGCGGAAGAGAUAAGUGCUGAAAGCAUCUAAGCACGAAACUUGCCCCGAGAUGAGUUCUCCCUGAGACUUAGAGUCUCCUGAAGGAACGUUGAAGACGACGACGUUGAUAGGCCGGGUGUGUAAGCGCAGCGAUGCGUUGAGCUAACCGGUACUAAUGAACCGUGAGGCUUAACCUU